GAUGAACGCUAGCGGCAGGCUUAACACAUGCCAGUCGAGGGGCAGCGCGGGAUAGCAAUAUCCUGGCGGCGACCGGCGGAAGGGUGCGUAACGCGUGAGCGACAUGCCCGUUGCCCGGGGACAACCGGUGGAAACGCCGACUAAUCCCCGAUGGGAUACGAUGCUUCAUGGCAUUGUAUUGAAAGUUACGGCGGCGACGGAUUGGCUCGCGUCCGAUUAGCUGGUUGGCGGGGUAACGGCCCACCAAGGCUGCGAUCGGUAGGGGUUCUGAGAGGAAGGCCCCCCACAAUGGGACUGAGACACGGCCCAUACUCCUACGGGAGGCAGCAGUGAGGAAUAUUGGUCAAUGGGAGGAAGCCUGAACCAGCCAUGCCGCGUGCGGGAAGGAGGCCCUAUGGGCUGUGAACCGCUUUUGCCUGGGGGCAAUAAGGGCGUCGCGCACGUCCGAUGAGAGUACCAGGCGAAUAAGCAUCGGCUAACUCCGUG
Molecule: ribosomal RNA, 486 nt
Filed under: uncultured bacterium
Lineage: Bacteria
Description: partial 16S ribosomal RNA
Rfam family: Bacterial small subunit ribosomal RNA
Source: RNAcentral